UGAAUGACAAUGAAGAGAAGAGUAAAUGGGGAAUCUGUCCAAAGAGAGCCGGGAAAGGUGCAAGCCGGUGGCAGAAAAAACAUUGAAGAUGGCCUCGGAGUCAGUUGCGGUGAAGCAUUGAGCCGUGACCGCUUGACGCGAUAAAACUAAAAGUCGAUUGAACUUAUCAAGGCAUUAUUUGUGAGAAUAAUGCGAACUAAGGUGGUAACGCGAAACCUUCGCCCUUAAC
Molecule: non-coding RNA, 229 nt
Filed under: Acetobacterium woodii
Lineage: Bacteria; Bacillati; Bacillota; Clostridia; Eubacteriales; Eubacteriaceae
Description: T-box sequence
Rfam family: T-box leader
About the family: Uncharged tRNA acts as the effector for transcription antitermination of genes in the T-box leader family. T-boxes are found upstream of many aminoacyl-tRNA synthetase genes and some amino acid biosynthetic genes usually in Gram-positive bacteria. The anticodon of a specific tRNA base pairs to a specifier sequence within the T-box motif, and the NCCA acceptor tail of the tRNA base pairs to a conserved bulge in the T-box antiterminator hairpin.
Source: RNAcentral